GAUGACGGAGAAGCUCUGUGGUCAUGUGGUGGCUGUGAGGGUUUGACAACUUCCAGCCUUUCCGUCUUGGUUUGGAGAUAGGCUCUCCUUGAUAGAUGCCCUAGAUGGGUCUUGAACCUGGUCUCCUUCUGUCUCGCCUCCUCAGUAGCUGGGCUCACAGUCCUCUUCAUGGGAUUAGGUUUAAUUAUUCUUUUGUUGUUGCUACCUUUAUCUGAAAAUCAUUUACUAAAUCUGAGGGCGUGGGAGUUUGCUCCUUUUACUUUUCUUCCUUUUUGAAAUAGGAGGGCUUUUAGUUAAGCACACUGGGGAUUAAGCCCAGGUCUUAUGCUUGCUGGGCAAGCCCUGUACCACUCAACUACAUCCCUAGACUUUUGGAGUUGAUUUUAAUACAUGAUAAAAGGGGGACAUUCUCUUGCGCUGAUCUAGGCAUUAUAUGUUGAAAAUUCUUCUUUCCACAGAGUGUUUUUGACACCCUCUUGCUUCCUAUUGCUGUGAUAAAACACGGUCAUGAAGGGAAGUCAGGUCAGGACCCCGGAGGCAGGAACUGAUACAGAGGUCAUGGAAGAGUGCUGCUUACUGGCUUGCUCCCAUGGCUUGCUCAACAGGCUUUCUUGAGAACUCGGAAACCUCUGCUGAGAGAGUCACAUCCACAGUACUGGGCCCUUCCACAUCAACCAAGAAACUGCUCUACAGCCUUGCCUACAGGCUAAUCUGAUAGAGGCAUUUUCUCACUUGAAGUUCCUUCUUCUCCGAUGACUCUGGCUUGUGUCAAAUUGAGAACUAACCAGAAUACUGUCAACGAUCAUCAGACCACAGAAGCGUGGUCUACUUGGGGACUUUACAUUCUGCUUACCUGAUCCGUAUACCGGCUUCCUUUGCCCGUGUGCCUGUAGCAUUUUGUGCUUCAUAGUACUGCAGCUUUGGAGUUGGUUUGCAAAUCAGGAAGUAGAAGCCCUUCUUCCUGCUUCCUUUUCAGGAUUGUUUUAACUAUACUAGGUCUCUUGUCAGCAAAUAAAAAGUAUAUAUCCGAAUAUAGAUGUGGGGUAAUCUAGGCUGGCCUGGAACCCAUUAUAUAGCUGAGACUGGCCUCAGGCUUAUGACAGUCUUGUCUCAGACACUUAAAUGCUAGGGUUAUAGAUGUGAGCUACUACACUCAGUUCAGAAAGUCAUUUGAAGAAAGACGUUGCCUGGGCUAGUGAGUGCCCAAAUGUUUUCUGAGCCAUGAACAACAUAGGAUGUUUUCUCCAUAGCUAGAUUUCCUUUAAUUUUCUUUUUGUGGGGGUAAGGAAGGGCUGUUGUGACUGUGUCACAUAGCCAAGGCUGACCUUGAACUCCUGGUCCUAUGUCUUCUGAGUGCUGAGAUUUCUUUGACAGUGUUUUGUCUGUUAGUUCUGAUUAUAUAUAUAUAAAUGCUGUUUUAAAUUUUAAUUCAAAUUUAUUUUAUUGAGUCUCAUGCAAUUCAUGCUUGUGUGGGGCUUGCUGUUAAGUUCUUUUUUUUUUUUUUUUUUUCCGAGACAGGGUUUCUCUGUAUAGCCCAGGCUGUCCUGGAACUCACUUUGUAGACCAGGCUGGCCUCAAACUCAGAAAUCCACCUGCCUCUGCCUCUACCUCCUGAGUCCUGGGAUUAAAGACGUACGCCACCACGCCCGGCCUGCUGUUAAAUUCUUGAUCCCCCACCCCUCCUCCACCUCCCAAGACCUAAGCUUGAAUCUGUGUGCCUCCACUCCACACCAGGUGAAACCCUAUCU
RNAcentral lists this long non-coding RNA (1748 nucleotides) under Mus musculus (house mouse). Its description in RNAcentral is "long non-coding RNA chr6:51550859-51552607". Lineage: Eukaryota; Metazoa; Chordata; Mammalia; Rodentia; Muridae. The record is from RNAcentral.